GACGAACGCUGGCGGCGUGCUUAACACAUGCAAGUCGAACGGAAAGGCCCUGCUUUUGUGGGGUGCUCGAGUGGCGAACGGGUGAGUAACACGUGAGUAACCUGCCCUUGACUUUGGGAUAACUUCAGGAAACUGGGGCUAAUACCGGAUAGGAGCUCCUGCUGCAUGGUGGGGGUUGGAAAGUUUCGGCGGUUGGGGAUGGACUCGCGGCUUAUCAGCUUGUUGGUGGGGUAGUGGCUUACCAAGGCUUUGACGGGUAGCCGGCCUGAGAGGGUGACCGGCCACAUGGGGACUGAGAGACGGACCAGACUCCUACGGGAGGCAGCAGUGGGGAAUAUUGCACAAUGGGCGGAAGCCUGAUGCAGCAGCGCCGCGUGCGGGAUGACGGCCUUCGGGUUGUAAACCGCUUUCGCCUGUGACGAAGCGUGAGUGACGGUAAUGGGUAAAGAAGCACCGGCUAACUACGUG
This 468-nucleotide ribosomal RNA is filed under the name uncultured bacterium. RNAcentral describes it as "partial 16S ribosomal RNA". It matches the Rfam family "Bacterial small subunit ribosomal RNA", at positions 28 to 507 of the family's 1533-position model. The record is from RNAcentral.